RNAcentral lists this small nuclear RNA (103 nucleotides) under Balaenoptera musculus (blue whale). Lineage: Eukaryota; Metazoa; Chordata; Mammalia; Artiodactyla; Balaenopteridae. The record is from RNAcentral.
UUGCUUCAGCAGUACAUAUACUAAAAUUGGAAUGAUACAGAGAAGAUUAGCAUGGCCCCUGCGCGAGGAUGACACGCAAAUUCAUGAAGCGUUCCAUAUUUUU